This is a long non-coding RNA of Podarcis raffonei (Aeolian wall lizard), 950 nucleotides long. RefSeq lists it as uncharacterized. The record is from RefSeq and is a predicted model, not a curated record. The transcript has 4 exons. NCBI's taxonomy places the organism in Eukaryota, Metazoa, Chordata, Lepidosauria, Squamata, Lacertidae.
CGGGCGGCGGGGCUCUCGAGGCAGCGCGGGGGGGGGGCGGGGUGUGCGGCAACCCCUUUUCUCUCCACGCGCUUCUCCAUAGGACGUGGACGGGGCUGCUAGCAAGAGCUUAGCCUUACUAAAUAGUCAAGGUGUGUUGGACCAGGACCUGGGUUCGAAUUCCGCACUCGGCCAUUAUGCUCACCUGGGGUGGCCCUAGCGGGGCCGGACGCUACCUCUCUCAGCCCAGCCUAAACUACCUCGCAGGGUUGUCGUGGGGAUUGGGUGAGAAGGGGAAGAGCCAUGCAUGCCACUUCGAAUUCCUUGUUGGAGAAAAGGGGUAUAAAUGCAGUAAAUUAAUAUUAUCGCCUCCCCCCCCCCGCGCUGCCAAAAUAGUCUUUUCUUCAUUGCAUUACUCCUACAGUUAACAGUACACGGAAGUUUACUUCACAGGGGUGACCAUUUGGACUUUCAGCAAGACUGCCUUGCCUCUGGUAGAUUGAUUAGUGGCAGCAUGUAGAUCUUCUGCUCUUGUGGGUAAGAAUGUAAAAAGAUUGGGCCCAAUGGGCCAUCUCCCAUCUGGUCCAACAUCCUGUUCUCGCAGUGGCCAGCAAGAUGCCUGUGGGAAACCUGCAAACAAGACCUGAGCACAGGAGCGCUCCUAUGGUUUCCAGCAGCUGGGACUCAGAAGCAUUACUGCCUGGGAUGGUGAAGUAGUGGAACCAUCUCCAAGAUAAAAGCUAUUUGCAUUUGGACAAGUUGACUACCAUUUUGGAAGUGCUGCGUUUUCCCCCCCUUGAGGUACUGAUGGACCAAAAGCAGUACAGAACAAGGAUUCUCAUAGGUAAGUGCUGUUGGAAGAGCAGUGCUCAGGUUCUGCAGAGGAAAGAGUUGUCAAAAUUCCGUUUUGUUCUCGUGUGUCAUUCUGGUUUGUGUAAAGUCACUUCAUUAAAAUCAGAUGUUCUAUCCUA